UUCCUUCGGGGUGAUUUGUUGGACGCUAGCGGCGGAUGGGUGAGUAACACGUGGGCAAUCUGCCCUAAAGACUGGGAUACCACUUGGAAACAGGUGCUAAUACCGGAUAACAACAUGAAUCGCAUGAUUCAAGUUUGAAAGGCGGCGCAAGCUGUCACUUUAGGAUGAGCCCGCGGCGCAUUAGCUAGUUGGUGGGGUAAAGGCCUACCAAGGCAAUGAUGCGUAGCCGAGUUGAGAGACUGAUCGGCCACAUUGGGACUGAGACACGGCCCAAACUCCUACGGGAGGCAGCAGUAGGGAAUCUUCCACAAUGGACGCAAGUCUGAUGGAGCAACGCCGCGUGAGUGAAGAAGGUUUUCGGAUCGUAAAGCUCUGUUGUUGGUGAAGAAGGAUAGAGGCAGUAACUGGUCUUUAUUUGACGGUAAUCAACCAGAAAGUCACGGCUAACUACGUGCCAGCAGCCGCGGUAAUACGUAGGUGGCAAGCGUUGUCCGGAUUUAUUGGGCGUAAAGCGAGCGCAGGCGGAAUGAUAAGUCUGAUGUGAAAGCCCACGGCUCAACCGUGGAACUGCAUCGGAAACUGUCAUUCUUGAGUGCAGAAGAGG
Molecule: ribosomal RNA, 604 nt
Filed under: Lactobacillus delbrueckii subsp. bulgaricus
Lineage: Bacteria; Bacillati; Bacillota; Bacilli; Lactobacillales; Lactobacillaceae
Description: bacterial SSU rRNA
Rfam family: Bacterial small subunit ribosomal RNA
Source: RNAcentral